Ictalurus punctatus (channel catfish) is the source of this 2592-nucleotide long non-coding RNA. The record is from Ensembl. NCBI's taxonomy places the organism in Eukaryota, Metazoa, Chordata, Actinopteri, Siluriformes, Ictaluridae.
GUUUCACUCCUCUGAGGAGAUUUGUGUUGUUUUCCCCCCUCAGCAGACACCUGGAGAGGGGUUCGGGUCCCGCAAAACCAGAAACGGAAACUUAAUCGGUUCUCUGUCACCGAAAAGACGGGAAUUAGUCACUUUUGUGUUUGUGAAGAACACACCACCGAGCAGCGACAGAAAAACCCCAACUCCCGGCUUUCACUCGUCUCUCGAGUAGUUUUUCUUUUAUAUGUGUGUAUAUCUUUGUACCGAGCAAAACACACGUUUUCAGACGUUUCCGCCAUUUUCAAAAGUGGACUUGUGUCACGGGUAGUGUUUCCACGUCGUCGGUUGUGUUCGUGGGGGAAAGUUAACGCGUUGUUAAACGGCGGUUUUAACGUCAGAACUCCGGGUUAGUUUGGAAGGAACCGCGCGUGAGGGAGUUCUGGAUUUUACCGGAUCUUAACGGAAUCUUGGAGAACUUUGGGCUACACAGACUUGUAGAGGAACGCACACACACACACACACACACACACACGGAGUCGACUUCAUAGCGUUUCUUUCUACUGAGGCAACAACAACAACAUUGUCAGGUUUUUUUUUUUUCACCUCACAGCAAAAUGAGCCGUUAUUUUGUCCGGCUUUACACGGACUAGCUAAGCUAACCUUCCCCCGCUUUAGUUGUUUAUUUUUUCCCCCCUUCUUUUUUCUUUCUCUCAGCUAAUUAUUUGUCUUCCUCAGCUGUGCCUCAGGGGUGACGAGGCCCCUCGGGGAGCUGCUUGCGGUGUCAAAUCUCUGCUCGUGCUAACGCAUAGCCGCGCGCGCGGGCACGGAGACGCGCGUGGUACGCGGCGCGUGAGCACUCUCCUGAAGAAGACGCGCUGUGAAAGAGAGAGAGAGAGAGGCGCGCGGCGGUAUCAGGAGCUGGAUACCUGUUAACUUUUCUGUCUGCGUGCGUGCGUGCGCGUGUGUGUAUGUGUGGUUGAGAGUGUGUGGCUCGUAGCCGCGGGAAGAGCUUCGUGGUCACUGUUCGGCAUUCCGUAAUGGACGCGAAAGCCUUCGGUCAAGUUUUUCACCGUCCUGUUCUUGCGGUAUCUUGCACAGGCUCGGAUACCGGACUGUAACCGAGUCGCAACCGGAAUAUCUCGGAGGCGAACAGCGUUCAUUUAUCGCCAAGCGGAUUUAUACAGGACAAGUACGAUGUCAUUUGCACGGGUCUGCUUGGGAGCUCUGCUGCUGUGGACGAUUGUUUCUGAUGAGAGCUUUAUUCAAUAUUUGUGGAAGGAGUCUCCAGCGCAGUGUAGCUGCUAUAACGUAAGUGACGACAGGAAAUCACCUGUUUUGUGGAAAUUCCACAAAGUUUAACUAUAAAGGGAUGAAAACGUACGUGCAUUCAUUAAUAAAUUAAACGUCGUAAUUGUUCACCGUUAAAAGGAAUCGAAUGCUUCGGAAUGUGCCGUCAUUGGAAAAUAAUCGACUUCAGGGUGGUAAGAGUAACGCCACUUCUUAUCCGGCUUCAUCACACCAGCCCAUCUUUGAUUAUUUUACAGUAACAGCAUGCCCCCAUAUGUUUAUUCCUUACUAGUUGAUAUAUAUAAAUAAUAACAAUGAUACCAAUUCUCUCUUUCUCUUUGUUCUCUUCCAUGCCUCCUCUGCACAACCCGUACGAAAGUGUUCGCAGGGUAGCCUCAGAUUCCUGUUAAUGAUGCGCUUUCAUAUUUUACCGAAGAAGACGCCUGUAGUUUAAGGCGAGAUUAAUUGGUAAGUGUUUAAUUUAUUCAUAUAUUCUAAUGUGACAUUUUAACUGCUCAUAUGUUAAUUUGUAGGGGUAAGUAAACGGAUAUGCAUAUCAGCCAUUAGGCCAAAUAUCUGUGAAUUACAUACACAUGAUAUCAGGGCAGUGGAUGAUGUUACAUGAUCAACUAUGGCGUGGCUGUUUUUCAGAAGCUAACAUGGAUGUGGGCCGGAAGUGUUCAGGUCAUCGGGUCUAAAUAGGAUAUAUCUCCUGAUAUUUUUGGCUCUGUUGACUCGUAAGACUAAUAAGGCUAAUCGUGUUUAUAUUCGAAUUUACAAAGUAUAUGUACGUCUAUGAAAUUUAACGGAGUCUUCCAUUGGAAACGUCAGUUGGUGGUCUGAUAUCCUCCAGUACUACCCGUGUUGGACGCGGGGCCUCCCGGCGAGGUCAUGGUGUUACGGAAUGACGAGCGUUCGUCUCGCACUCAACCGCUUGCUUAAUAUAUUUAUACGUUUUCCUCUCUACCACGGCAUUUUUCUUAUCAAGAAGGCUUUUUGUGGGUCUGCCGGUAUGUGGAAUCAAUAAAAUAUCACAAAGCAUUUGUUUUAUUUUAGUUAUUUAUUUAUAUAUUUUUGACCAUCAAUUGAUUCGUAGCCUAACCUUGGAUGAGUAACUGCGGUCAUCUUGGCAGGCUUUCCAACUUCAUUUCUACCAUAUGCUGCACUCUGUUUAUAUUAAGCUCCAUCAUUAAUAGCAUUAAUAUCGGGCAUGAUAAACAGUAUUACUCAAAUAUCGGUUGAUUGCAGACCUAAGACGAGCGCAAAAGACAUUGGAUUUUAAAAAAAAAGUCUUGCACAUGAAAUGAAAUAUCAUUUUCAGAAUUU